RNAcentral lists this ribosomal RNA (749 nucleotides) under uncultured bacterium. RNAcentral describes it as "bacterial SSU rRNA". It matches the Rfam family "Bacterial small subunit ribosomal RNA", at positions 28 to 776 of the family's 1533-position model. The record is from RNAcentral.
GAUGAACGCUGGCGGCGUGCUUAACACAUGCAAGUCGAACGGAGUGCCUUUGAAAGAGGAUUCGUCCAAUUGAUAAGGUUACUUAGUGGCGGACGGGUGAGUAACGCGUGAGGAACCUGCCUUGGAGUGGGGAAUAACACAGUGAAAAUUGUGCUAAUACCGCAUAAUGCAGUUGGGUCGCAUGACUCUGACUGCCAAAGAUUUAUCGCUCUGAGAUGGCCUCGCGUCUGAUUAGCUAGUUGGUGGGGUAACGGCCCACCAAGGCGACGAUCAGUAGCCGGACUGAGAGGUUGAACGGCCACAUUGGGACUGAGACACGGCCCAGACUCCUACGGGAGGCAGCAGUGGGGAAUAUUGCACAAUGGGGGAAACCCUGAUGCAGCAACGCCGCGUGAGUGAUGAAGGUUUUCGGAUCGUAAAGCUCUGUCUUUGGGGAAGAUAAUGACGGUACCCAAGGAGGAAGCCACGGCUAACUACGUGCCAACAGCCGCAGUAAUACGUAGGUGGCGAGCGUUAUCCGGAUUUACUGGGCGUAAAGGGAGCGUAGGCGGAUGAUUAAGUGGGAUGUGAAAUACCCGGGCUCAACUUGGGUGCUGCAUUCCAAACUGGUUAUCUAGAGUGCAGGAGAGGAGAGUGGAAUUCCUAGUGUAGCGGUGAAAUGCGUAGAGAUUAGGAAGAACACCAGUGGCGAAGGCGACUCUCUGGACUGUAACUGACGCUGAGGCUCGAAAGCGUGGGGAGNCAACAGG